This is a long non-coding RNA of Ochotona curzoniae (black-lipped pika), 2185 nucleotides long. RefSeq lists it as uncharacterized. The transcript has 2 exons. The record is from RefSeq and is a predicted model, not a curated record. NCBI's taxonomy places the organism in Eukaryota, Metazoa, Chordata, Mammalia, Lagomorpha, Ochotonidae.
GUUUAAGCAAAUUUUAUUUUAUAAAAAUUUACAAAAACACUGUGAAGAACUUUUGUCUUCAUGACUAGUACAGUGGUCAAUGGGACCUGAAUUCAUUCCUGAGCAUGCUAAUAUUUCCAAUAAGCAAAGACACUCUUCUGAGUACCCAUCAAAAUCCAGAAAUUCACACGAUACUUUGUGACCAUCUAAUCACAACACACUUGAGAUUCACCCAUUGUCUUAAUGUCUUUACAGCUAGUGGAUCUUGACCCACUUUUCAUGUCUCAUCUUUUCCCUUUUCUUUGAUUUGAACACUGUGGAUUUGUGUGGCUUUCCUUUUGAGAUUCACUUACUCAUUUGAAAGGCAGGGUUACAGAGAGAGAAAGAUGUGGAGAGCAAGAUCCCACAUCCAGGAGUCUGACCCCAAGCAACCACAUGGUCAAGGCAGGGCCAGGGCGAAGCCAGGAGCCUGAAACUUUCUCUAGAUCUCCGACAUGGACAGUCGUGCCUUCUGUCACUGCUUCCCCAGGUUGACUGGAAGUGGAAUGGCUUGAGCACAAACUGGCACCAUAGAACAUGCUAGAGCCAUUAGUGCUGGCUGCCUUAACCCACUUCAUCACAACACUGGCCUAGCCUUGACAUUUUUGAAGACCGUAACACAAUGAUUUUGUAGAAUGUGCCUCAGUUGUGGUUUAUCAGUUGAUUCCUGGUGAUCCAAAUCAACUUACCAAUCUUUCAUAGGAGGGGAAUUCUGUGUGUUCUUGGGGCAUCUGUCUUUUUUUUUCUGUUGCUGUAAAAUAAUAUAUGAGAUUUGGCAAAUAGAAAGGCAAAGAGGUCUAUUUGGCUCUGAUUCUGGAUGUUAAGACAUUCAAGCUCAGAUGGCUACCCCCAAUGAGGGAUUCCUGCUGGUGGAGACUCUACAAAGUCCUAAAACAGUGCAUGGCAUUAUUUGGUGAGAUAAAGUGUUAGCCUUUAAUACGUGAAUACAAGAAUAAGUUAGUCCUUUCAUGAGGGUAACAUGACCUAAUUACCUCUUAAAGACCCCAGCAGACCGAACCUCCUAAUAAUUCACAAAGAGUUCAAUUUCUGUAUGGGUUCUGAUGGGGAUACUCAAAGCAUAGCAGCAUCCGACCUCUAUUUACUGAUGUCAUUGUCAACACAACAUUAAGGUAAUGUCACAGGUGGGGUGUCAGAGAGAGUGAACUUGAAAAUUGGCAUGCAAGAUUUGACUAGGGAAUUAUGUUGAGAACAGUUCUAUAAGAAAGGAGCAGAACUGGACAGAGGGAGAAACCUAGCAGCAUGAUUUCCCAACAAAAGGUGGACCCCCAGAGCUGGCAGGUCGGGACGCUCUAAGCUUCGAGUGGACCCCCAGAGCUGGCAGGUCGGGACGCUCUCUGAGUUGGGGAUGGGUGAAGGAGCUUUUACUCCCGUAUUGACCAGUCGCUGGAUGUGAGCUGCCCUGUGGCAGCUAACCCUGCCUGAGGCCUUUUGCUGCAGUUCAAGCCAAUUCCCAAUUCUGCCACCACACCCAGCAGCAUCAGAUAAAUGUGUUGGCUCUAACGGGAUUCUGAGCAUCAUAUCACACAUGCUUAGGAGGUGUCCAGUGGGAUGUUCCAGUGCAAGGUUGCUCUGCAUUCUCUCUGCAGGAAAGGACACAGUGAGAGAGGACACAGUACAAGCUCCUGAUUUUCCCUUAAUUAAAUGGUCAACAUAAACUUGUUACUCUCAUUAAUUAAGUUGCUAUUCCAACAGUCUUGGACCCACAAGUUGGAAAGUGCUUCUUUGCCCCACCUGUCCUGGUCCAUAAUGCCUUACUUCCAAUCAUAAGGUGACCCAGGUUCAGUACUGAAAUGCCGUGCUCCACUGAAAUGCCUCCUGUUAAACGCAGUGGUAUUUAAAAAGCCAAAUCUAGUUGUGCUGUGUUCUUUGACCUUCGAAUAUUUGUUGGUUAACCUAGGUUUACCUCACUGACCUCUGUUCUCACCAUGUUAUGCCUCUGAUGACGCCGACCAGAACUCUAUCCUACAUAACAGUUUGCAUCCUUGAGGCUUCUUGUUCCGCCUGUGGAGAGACACGGGGAUGUGCAUACAGCCCAUAGCAUCAACUCAUUUUGACCAAGUAUUUGCAAUGGGCCUUCAAUGUGCUUUGUGUUCUUGCUAGUUUUCUGUUGUUGCUGCUGCAAUAAAUUGUCAGAAUUCCAGUGGUU